GACGAACGCUGGCGGCGUGCUUAACACAGGCAAGUCGAACGGAAAGGCCCUGCUUUUGUGGGUUGCUCGGGUGGCGAACGGGUGAGUAACACGUGAGUAACCUGCCCUUGACUUUGGGAUAUCUUCAGGAAACUAGGGCUAAUACCGGAUAGGAGCACCUGCUGCAUGGUGGGGGUUGGACAGCUUCGGCGGCUGGGGAUGGACUCGCGGCUUAUCAGCGUGUUGGGGGGGGAGUGGCUUACCAAGGCAUUGACGGGUAGCCGGCCUGAGAGGGUGACCGGCCCCAUUGGGACCCAGCUCCGGCCCCGACGCCUUCUGGCGGCAACAGGGGGGAGUUCAGCACAAGGCUGGGCACCCUGAGGCAGCAACGCCGCGUGCCGGAUGACAGCCUUCGAGUUGUAAGCCGCUUGCGCCUGUGCCGACGGGUCAGUGACGAUAAUCGCUAGAGAAGAACCGGCUAACUCCGUG
This 468-nucleotide ribosomal RNA is filed under the name uncultured bacterium. RNAcentral describes it as "partial 16S ribosomal RNA". It matches the Rfam family "Bacterial small subunit ribosomal RNA", at positions 28 to 507 of the family's 1533-position model. The record is from RNAcentral.